UUCUAAAAAUUUUAUUAAAAUGUCCCAAAUCUAAUAAGAACAAUAGACAUUGAGAAAAGAGGUUUAAGGAAAGCUUUAGAACACUAAACAAGGAAGAGUGUGGGAACCAAAGAUAAAUUUCAUCCACAGUUUUGUUCAGAACUAAUUCUUAUACGUAAUCCAUCACAAUUGUUUAUACGUUUUCGGUUCCUAUGGUAGCCAGUAGUUGAAUUGGAUUCUUUGCUUCCUUUUUAAAAAGAGGGGAUACCAACCAAUACAUGUCCCUAGCUUAUCUCUUAUUGCUCUCCUAUGGAAACCAAGGAGUCUCAAAAUAUGCUGUGUACUUUCCUGCUUCUCGAUGGUGGCUCAGAAUAUGUCCCACCCAGAAUGCCCUUGCAGUUCACUGAAAUCCUGCUCAUUGGUAAUUUUCUCCAAGCAAGAAGACUCAUAGUUAAUGUUGCCAGCAUUUCACUAAAAAUUAAUUCAAAAAAAGACUCACACUAAAUGGAAGAGCUACACUUUCAAAAGAUAAGAGGUAACCAUUGACCAGAUUACUAUUUGUGGUUCUGUGGUGGUUCUGAGUUUAAUACAAAGACAUGUCAUUCCUGAGUCCUGUUGCUUUCUAAAGACAUUGCCAAUACACUAAAUCAGAG
Molecule: long non-coding RNA, 632 nt
Filed under: Ovis aries (sheep)
Lineage: Eukaryota; Metazoa; Chordata; Mammalia; Artiodactyla; Bovidae
Description: lncRNA (ENSOARG00000026046.1)
Source: RNAcentral